AACGAACGCUGGCGGCAUGCCUAACACAUGCAAGUCGAACGAGAACUUCGGGUCUAGGGGCGCACGGGGGCGUAAGGCGGGGGAAGCUGCACGUAGGUACGGAAUAACUCCCCGAAGGGGGUGCUAAUACCGGAGAAUGUAUUCGGACCAAAGAUCUAUCGCCUUUGGCUGGGGGCGCGUUGGCUUAGCUGGUUGGUAGGGUAAAAGCCUACCAAGGCGUCGAUCCAUGGCUGGUCUGGGAGGAUGAUCAGCAACACUGGGACUGAGACACGGCCCAGACUCCUACGGGAGGGAGCAGUGUGGAAUACUGGACGCUGGGCGCAGGCCUGAUACCGCAGUGCCGCGUGUGUGGUGAAGGCCUUAGGAUUGUACAGCUCUUUUACCCGGGAUGAUAGUGACGGUACCGGGAGAAUAAGCUCCGGCUAACUACGUG
RNAcentral lists this ribosomal RNA (433 nucleotides) under uncultured bacterium. RNAcentral's name for it is "partial 16S ribosomal RNA". It matches the Rfam family "Bacterial small subunit ribosomal RNA", at positions 29 to 507 of the family's 1533-position model. The record is from RNAcentral.